This 2475-nucleotide long non-coding RNA is filed under the name Sus scrofa (pig). RNAcentral describes it as "lncRNA (ENSSSCG00005004627.1)". The record is from RNAcentral. Lineage: Eukaryota; Metazoa; Chordata; Mammalia; Artiodactyla; Suidae.
ACUCCCCACCCGGGGCUGGUGCUGGCACGGCUCGGGGUGAGCAUGUGGGUGGGAUUGGGGUGCUGUGGGGGAGGAGAGUUUGGGGGGGACGGGGCAGGCUCUGGCCUGGGCCUGGUGGGUGACCACCUGGAGGCCCAGGCUGGCUGCCACCACUCCGGCCAAGGUCAGUCACGAGGGGGUCACCCCAGCUCCCUCCUCCUUAUCCCACAGCCGCCCCCCCUCGGGGGGGCAAGGAACAGCAGCCUGGCUGGGGUGGGGGGAGGCCCGGCGUCUCUCCAGAGGGCUGGGUGUCCUCGCACCGUGUGGCAGCCGCCCCCAGAGGGAUGAUUCAAAGCAGCCUCGGAGGCUCUGCCGACUGGUCCCGGAAAGCCAGCGCCGUCACCCCGGCUGCCUCCUGUGGGCACAGUCCUCCAUCCAGGCCCCACUCGAAAGGAAAACUGGCUCCACUUUGGGAAUGCCCCGGAGGACACAGACCCUGGACCCUGAGAGGAAGGGGAGGGGUGGCAGGUGCCAGACUAGGAUUGCUGUCUGGGCCACGACCCCCGGUCCCCUGGCAAGGGCACCGCUGGUCCUUCCUUCCACCCCAGCCCAGAAGUCUCCAGGCAGUGCCCCUUCCAGGCGACGCCUGCAGUCCUGCUGCCUGCCGACCCCGAAGCGGGAAGCAGCGCCGGAGGGCGAAGCAAAGGCCACGUGCUUGCUUUUAGAAAAGUACCCGCGUGGCCUGGGAGCGACAGAGGCCCACGCCCCCGGGGGUCAGGUGGGGCGAUACUCCCUUUCUCCUUUGCACUUUUCUAGGCUUUCCCAGUGUUCCUGCAGGGAGUGUCUAUUUGUUGAGUCUUUGCCUUUUUUCCAGUUGAGGUUAUGUUCACAUAACACGCACUUAGUAUGUAAAGUGUGCAAUUCAGUGGCGUCUGUGCACUCCCAGUAUUGUGCAAACACCAGCCCUCGCUCGUCUCAGAACUUCUUCACCACCCCGUAAAGACCCUCCCCGGAUCCGAGACGUCGUCGCGCCCCGUUUCUCGCUCCCGAAUCCUCCGGGAAUGGCUGACCCGCGCCGCCCCCGUGGACCCGCCUCGUCCGGGUCCGCCACGUGAAAAGCACCCGGGGAGGGGGGCCGGCGGCCUUUGUGUCUGGCUGCUUUCACGCUGCAGUGUCCUCAGGUCCACGCACGUUGCCUCUGCCCCUUCACUCCCUUUAGGGGUGAACGCCAGCCCACAGUUGGAGGUCCAGUUCUCCGUGGACAUUGGGGUCAUUUCCCCCUUUUGGAGAUUGUCAGUAACGUGUCUAUGAACAGGAAAGGUUUUUAGUUUUGCUUUGUUUCGUUAUUGCCUUUUUUUCUUUUGGUCUUUUUAGGGCCACACCUGCGGCGUAUGGGGGUUCCCAGGCUAGGGGUCCAAUCAGAGCGGUAAGUGCUGGUCUACACCACAGCCACAGCCACAGCCACGCGGGAUCUGAGCCACCUCUGCGACCUACACCACAGUUCAUAGCAACGCGAGAUCCUCCACCCACUGAGCGAGGCCAGGGAUCGAACCUGAGUCCUCACGGAUGCUCGUCAGGUUCUUUAACCACUGAGCCACGAGCCAUGAUGGGAACUCCCCGUUUUUGUCUUUUCAGGGCCACAUGUGCAUCCUAUGGAAGUUCCCAGGCUAGGGGUCAAAUUGGAGCUGCAGCCACCGGCCUACACCACAGCCACAGCGAUGCAGGAUCCGAACCGCAUGUGCAACCUACACGGCAGCUCACGGCAACGCCGGAUCCUUAACCCACUGAGCGAGGCCAGGGGUCAAACCUGGGUGCUCAUGGAUCCUGGUCAGACUCAUUUCCACUGAGCCAACCCAGGGACUCCCCUGCUGCACCCUUGUAGGUUCCCAGCAGCACACGGGCAAGUUUCCGUUUUAGAAAAAUCAAACCAUCUCAACAGGCGCGAAGCGGUCUCGCAUUCUCAUUUUGAUUCGCAUUUCCCUUGUGACCAGUGACAGUGCAUCUUUUCCGGAGUUCGCUGGCCACUUGCACAUCAUCUUUGGGGAAAUGUCUCUUCAAGUCCUAGACCAUUGUUUAAAUUCGAUGAUCUUUUCUGGCUGAGUUUCCUCUGUGUUCUGGACCCUAUCAGAUGCAUGUUCCUGGGCCUCUUUGCCUUUCACCCUCUGACUCUGCCCCUUGAUGCAGAAGGCGUUUGUCUCUCUGGUUGCUGUGUCUUCCGUGUCACAGCUCAGAAGCCAUUGCCUUGAAGACUUACCACACGUUUUCUUCCAAGGAUGUUUGGGUCUCGCUCCUUGGGUUUAGGUUGUCGAGCCUUGAGGAGACAUUUGUGUGUGACGUGAGCUCGGAUCAGACUUCAUUAUUUGGCAGCUGGAGACCCACUCAUCUCAGUGCCGUUUGUUAAUCUAUUACUUUCACAACUACGAAAAUAAGUUAAAAAAAAAGCCUGUCCUGGAGUUCCCGUCGUGGUGCAGUGGUUGGCGGAUCCAACUAGGAACC